CUGGCAAACAAACAAAGUUUAUUCAUUUCACUCUGAAGAUUACAAAUGACAUUCCCUCUAUUUGUAGAUGAAGUGAGGUAGAAACACAAUUAUUACAGCCAGUUCAGAGAGGAAAAAUGACAUUCCUAUGGGCACAAACGUAUAAUAAUUAUACAGACAAUUAAAAAAGCAGAAUUCAAUUGAAAAGUAAAAGAUUAUAACGAUAAACUUUAUAAAGACAACAUAACAACAGCUAGCAGAUAUCCAAUGCAACAACUUUAUGAAGGAAGUGACGGGCGCUCAAAUUAAAGUUUUAAUAAUUUGAGUCGUUAGAAUCAACCGAUUCAUACACGUUGCAAUACAUGGACAUGAGCUAGUGUCUUGUGGAUCUUGAGAAUCUUGUAAUAUUGGAUCAGGAAAAUCUGGUUAUAGGCCAGGAUCAGGCGCUGGGCUGAGUGUUGUAAGUUGUGUGUUUCUUUUCUGCAUUGACUUGGGAUAAGUUUUCCAUUCAAAUGCAAAGUUUUGUGUCCAAAUCAUUCCUUCAAGGUAUUUGAAGUAAGGUCGAUGGAGAAUGAAGAUAG
RNAcentral lists this unclassified non-coding RNA (560 nucleotides) under Hevea brasiliensis (rubber tree). The record is from RNAcentral. Lineage: Eukaryota; Viridiplantae; Streptophyta; Magnoliopsida; Malpighiales; Euphorbiaceae.